Molecule: non-coding RNA, 2960 nt
Organism: Schizosaccharomyces pombe (fission yeast)
Lineage: Eukaryota; Fungi; Ascomycota; Schizosaccharomycetes; Schizosaccharomycetales; Schizosaccharomycetaceae
Source: the annotation of a GenBank genome assembly
AAAAAAUUUUUUUUCUGAAGAUGACCGUGUUGAUCAAACCAAUAUUCUUUAUUGUUCACUAAAAAGAAUAUCAAAAGAAGUAUUUAGUAGUAGCUAAAAUGUAUUAACUUUUUACUUUAGAAUGUCUCGCAAUUGACUUUGAUUAGACACUGUUUAGGUGGGACGCAACAAUUGUUGGAUGGCGAGGUCUCUUAGAUGGAAGCCCGCAUUUAUAUAGUUUUAGACUAUUUAUUUGCCUUUUCCUUUGUGACGAAUUCAGAUAGCUUUCCUUACUGAUAAGAAUGCGAUACCCGUUCCAUACGGCGCAACGUUAAAAUAGGCGACUAGCAGUGUAAAGUCCGAUACCUAGACGAAAGCAAUCGUAAGCUAAAGGUGUCGACAGUACCUCAGUUUGGCUGGCUAUCUUAGUAUUGCUUACAAGCCCAUCAUACCAUAUGAAAGUAAGCUUACGUUCGUUUGAUUAAUAAACAAUGUGAUGUCAAAAGCUGUAACGGCCGUUCUUGUAUGAGAGAGAAGCUAGCAGAACAAAAAAGGGAGACUUCGCACAUUGAAUUCAAACAGUUGACAUCACAAAUGAAAAGAGCGACUGUGUUUAAUAAGCGUUUCAAAUAUUCCAUUGGGAUUUACUAAGGAUUAGGAUUUAGAAGAAAGGUUUAACAAAGGGUUGAAAGUUUCAUGAUAGCAAAGUGUGUCGCAUGUAAACAAAAGAACAUUCAUUUGAAAUCAUAGCUAUAUCCAUUAGCUAGCUAAUUAAUUAGUAAGUUGGUUAGUAAUUUAAAUAAUUAAUUUUCAUCAUAAUGUAUAGAAAAACAACGUAAAAUUCAGGGAACUAUUUCUAAGUCAUCCUCAUCAUCACUCUCAGUAAAUUCAUAUCGGAAUUUGAUAUUUUUUAGGGAGCCGGAUCGUGAAAGUCCAGUCGCUGUGGAGUGCGUUGUAGAUGCAUCUGCGGAAUGCGUUGGAUCGAAACCUAUUUUUCGUAGACUUUGGGGGGAAAAAAUCCUCGGCGAAGAGGUAAACACUACCGCUGGGGAAACUUUGGUGGAUGUAGUAUCUUGUGGAACGGGUGUCCCUGAUGCCGCAUCGUUAGUGCCGAGAAUAGCAGAGUUAGAAAAAGAUGGUAGAGAGGAUUUAGGGUUCAUUAUAGAUGCAUUAAAAGAGGCCAGAACGGAUGGUUUUUUCGUCGAUGAAUCAAUUUCGCUAUCUUUAGAAAGAGCAGUGGGAUUACCCUUGUCAUGUAAAUUUUUAACGCCGGAACCUUGUAAAUUUAGAUACUGAUGGCCGAGUGUUCGCAUCGACAUUCCCGUAGAGAGGUUAUUCGAGUUAGAGCUAGACGAAGAGGAAGCGCAACAUCGCUUCGAUAAUCGCACCAAAAUUUCACGCUCGCGUUCAGCCUGCGCUCGUUGUUUUUUGUAUCGUUCCUUGCGCUCCCUCUCGGUCUGAACGGCGUCUUCUGCAUCAUACAAACCAGCUACUGCGUUAGGAAUUGCGGAAUACUUUUCCCCAGCAAAGUAUCCUUGGAACCCUUGUCCACGAAAUCGCUUUUCACGUCGUGCGCGAGGCUCGUGCAUAGUCGCCAUACUUGAAGCAAACUCCGUUCGCGUAGACAUGGACCGCUGGACAGCGAGGUCAACGUGAUAUUCACAUACAUCUCCGGCACGCUUGUCGAGCCAAUGUUUACAUAGUUCACCGCUUUUUCUUCGGCUGGAACAAUAGCCAAGGUGUUUGGAGCGACCAAUCUCUAAAAGUACAUCGUACUCAGAAUCCAGCUUCAGAGAAAAGCGUCCAAUGUCUGGGUUCUUUGGCUUUAGUACUUCAGGAUUGAGAAGCGCAAUGACAGUACCACUCUGGAUCUUCCAGUAUCGUUCAAACGCCUUUCCAAACAGGAAGCACUCCAGUUGCCAUUUCAAGUCAGUCAGUGUUAGCAUACAAUAUUUAUUCCCAUUCACAGUUUCUCUGGUUCCACUAUUACUGGCAACAAUGCCCAUAACUACAUAGUUGUCAACUUCUGGCGCUUCAAAUUUAGGAGCUCUUACUAGUUUGAGUAGUUGGUGAAUGAGAUAAACUUGAUUUCCCCCUAUAUUUUCCUUAGCAACCUCAUCACUUAUGUAUCGAAUAACAAUGGCUUGUCUUGAAUAAGGAUCGAUUUCAUCACAUUUCAUAGGAAAUUUCUCCUCUUCACUUUUUCCAUCUUCAAGUAUGUUUCGCUUCCUCUGGAACGAUUGCUUUCUAUUUUUUUUCAUCGUUUUCAAUUUAUCGCUCCUCUUCCUUUCUUGGUUCCUUGCCUCUGCAAGUCGUUCGUGAAAUGGUUUUGGUAGAGGCCCUCGAGGCCCUUUUCCUAAUGAAACAUCUUUCCCCGUCUUUCCUUUAUCGAUUCCUAAUAUCAAUCGCUUGGGACUUUUUAGUUUACUAGGCGAGCUGACUGUAAGGACACGAACUUGCUGAGGAGGAGAUCUUGGAACCUGAAUAACUUCAGCGUUCUCCGAAGAAGCCUCCUUUUGAGCACUUCGUAGACGCUUCUUUUCUUGAAUUUCAUUUAGCUGCCUCUGUAACCUCUUUUCUUCCAGGUCCAAGUCAUUUUCUUCUGCAAUGAAGGGAUCAUGCAUACUUGCAUUAAUUAAACUUGGUUUCCUCUUAAUCUUAAACCUCCAAAGUCAAUGAUAAAAAAAACCCCCCGCCUGUUAGAUAUAGUCAAUUUCUCACGAAUACUGAAACUUUUCAACCCAACCCUAGAAAACUAGCUUUUCAGGAAAUUAAAAAAACUCUGAUCAAUAAAAUUUUCUUCUCUAUUGUAUGAGUAGCCAAAACAAAUAACAGGAUAAAUUUAAUACUGCCACAUUUGUAUUUUGAAAUGCGAAGAUAUUGUUGAAAAGUUUAGUGCCAAAAACAGGAAAUUCUUUAGUCCUGGAAAAGGAAGCAAGUAAUAAUUAUAAAUCUUUUUAACAAGAUAUUCUUAUUUUCCA